RNAcentral lists this signal recognition particle RNA (96 nucleotides) under Coriobacteriaceae bacterium. Its description in RNAcentral is "signal recognition particle sRNA small type". It matches the Rfam family "Bacterial small signal recognition particle RNA". From Rfam's summary of the family: The signal recognition particle (SRP) is a universally conserved ribonucleoprotein involved in the co-translational targeting of proteins to membranes. The record is from RNAcentral. Lineage: Bacteria; Bacillati; Actinomycetota; Coriobacteriia; Coriobacteriales; Coriobacteriaceae. RNAcentral also lists the same sequence under 1 other name.
UUGGUGGACUUGGGCGGCGACAUACUCCGAACCUGGUCAGGACCGGGAGGUAGCAGCCAUAAGGGGUCACUGACGAGCGCCCAAGUCUACCAAGGG